CAAUCUUUUGGUUGAGAUGUGGUCUACAAUAGUCUGAAAACUGCUGGUAACACAUAAGGGGAUUUCUGCACUUUCAUAGUGCCUAUGUAUUUGAAUACUACAAAAUCAUGCACCCAGGUUUUUGAGCAACCAUCAAUUUGCAAGCAGAGAAGUUCUGUUCUGCAUGCCAUUGUGCUAGGUGAGCAAGGCUGCUCUCCUUCCUUGUGUCCCAUCUGGUGGGAAGUGAUUUCUAUAAUACACCAUUUUGUACUAUGUAUAAUAUAUAUUGACUUCUUAUCACACCUCCAAUCCUGUUCCUUUGUCAAGUGAAUUGAGGCAUUUUCAAAAACACCUAAAUUAUUUAGGGUUAUUUAUAUAUAAUAUAAAUUAUUAUUUUAUUAUUCUAAGGACCAUCAAGACUUCUUCUAUUAAAAGGUUUCUUUCCUGAAGGGGCUUCUUAUUUGUUAGCUAUUGCUUGCCCAUUAUCGGUCUCUGAUAUUGACCCAGAUGUUUUUAAUUUACUUCCCCAAACACACAAUUGCUUUUUAAAAUUGUGCAGAAAGGCAGAGAUUUUGAUCAGACCUGUCUAUCCACUGCUCCCAUUUAGGAGACAUUUUUAAUGGGUUUGGGUCAAUAUGCUCCAUGCCUUGUGGUUAAGACACAGGACCAGAUUCCAGAAGACCCUCCUUCUAUUUCCAGCCCUUCCACCAACUUCCCAUGUAACCAUGGCUAAGGCACUUAACCUCUCCAGUGCCUUAGUUUCCUCGUCUGUAAAUGAGGAUGAUGUCUCAUUCACAGUGUGUAAAGAGCUUUGAGAUCCUCAGUUAGAAAAUGCUGAAGAAGUGCCAAGCAUUACUGUAAAAAUGUGGUAUAGAAAUUAGUUUUGUGCUGAAACUGACAGAAACCACAGGGCAACUGGAAAGAAUGGGAAGAUCAGAAACCAGAGUUUAUGCCAAGGUGAAGGGAGAUGUGGGGGUGAAGUACCACACUGGAUCCCCAACUCCUGGAUAGGAAUUCCCUCCAGUUGUGAAAUUCUCUUUACCAGAACACAGUGGAUAGAGUUUAAUUCCUGCUUCAUCCAUUCAUUAAAGAGGGGAUAAAGCCAGGUGCUCUUCUCUAGCUUCCAUGGCUUUCCCUAGAGAGAGGCACCUGAUAAAUCAUCAGAAGUUAAUGAUCAAAAAGCUUAUCAGGGUCUUUUCGUUUAUAAAUUUAUAAGACAAAAGAGAAAUAAUAAAGCCAUUGGAUAAUUAGUAACUAGCCAGGGCCCGCCCGGUGCAACUGGAGCUCAAACUGCCCCAAGAUCUCUACACAGGCUUAGGGAGAAGAGAGAGAGAAGGAGAUGGGUAAAAGCAAUGUGAAAGAGAGACAGACAGACAGACAGACACUCACAGACAGGUAGACAUAGAAACAGGGUGAUGAGAGACAGAGAGAAGUGGUGGGGGGAUAGGAAAGGAGGAUCUAAGGAAAACAGAUAUAGAACAGGGGAGUUGGAACAGCAAGGGUGUAAGAAAGAGGGAGGGGGACAAAAUUAAAAGGCAAAGACAGGAAAGGGGUUUAUUGGAUGGAAAAGAAGAUUGAAUUACGGGGAGCAUCUUUCCUCUCAGGGAAUAGGUGAAGGAAAGAGAAAUAAAGGAACGGAGAGCAAGAAGGGGAAAGGAAAACCAUGUCCUUACUGUAAUAGUCUCUCCACCACAGCCUUCUGGUGAGCAGCCUCCUCUGGACUUAGGUUUUCCAGCUCCUUCAUUAUUGGAGGGGUAAAUUCCUCCCCAUCGUCCGAGGUUUCCUCCUCGGACAUCCUGGAUUCCUCCAUCCCAUUGGACAGAUUGGGAAUUUCAGCACAGAGUUCCCCUUUUUCCGCCUGGAUGGCACUGAUGGCACGCUGGCUUUCACUCUGGAGGGCAUAGGGGUCCACUUCCCCGAGCGCUUUGAUCAGGGUCUCCUUGGUUAGCCCUGACUCCAGCAGUGCUCCCAGCAGCUCCACCUGAAGAUGACUCAGCUUAGAGACCAUGGUCUUCAGUCUGGUGUCCCUUGGAUUUGAGUUUCAGCACGUUCUGCCUUCAGCCUUCCCUACACCAUGUUCCUGAGGUAAUACACCCAACUGUCAGCAGAGUGGGAAUGGCAUAGACUCCCGCCUUUGCACCCCCCAAAAAAAACAAAAUACAAAAAUGAGCCACUUCAGACCCCCCACGACUGUCCUGAGCCAGUGCUGAUAAAGGGACCCUUGGCUAUCUGUUUACAUUGGAGCAGUGUAAAUUCUCCAAGGUUCAUAUUUAUCCGUGUGCUUAGCAAGUUACUGAACUUUGGACUUCAGCACUGCAGCAGCAGUUCACAAAGUGCAGCGGGGGGGAGGGGAAAAGGUAGGGAGCCAGAAGAGAAAAGGAGAGUAAAAGGAAUGGACAAAGAAAAAGCCAGGAUGGGAGACAGAUAGAAAAGAGAAAUGGAAAGAAAAUUGAAUGAGAAAGUGAGAGCGGAGAAGUCUGACUGGUUCUUGGCCCUAGUGGUUAAGAACAGGGAUAGGCUUGAGGAACCAGAAGCAUGGGGCUAAGCCCCACCAAAACCUUUGGGUUGGGAAUUAGCGGCCUCCGCAGCUUGGCCAAUCUUUGUGUACCACACCCCAGGCAUCAAGUACAACCUCUGGAUUUAUUCUAAUAUUCCAAGAUCUACCAUACUCUCAAAGAGCUCCCAUUGACUUCAGUGGGACAGGCUGGGGCACUAAAUGACUGCUGAGCCAGUUCCCCACAUUGACACUUACCUGUCCCCAUUUCUCUUCAUUGGAACCUACUGCCUUUAUUAUUCUUUUGGUGAGUGCUCACAGUGUGUACUCUUUAUAAAGGAGACAUGGGGCCUGCCCCACUGAAUUUAUAAUCUAAGCAGGCAAACAAAAUAAACAUGCAAGCUGUGUUCUGGGUAUUGGUGCACUUCUAUAGGUUCCUGGCUUGCCUACAACUGCUCCUCCUCUCCCUAUGAGUGCCACCUACAGUGACUUCAUUUAUCAACACCAUAGUUUUACCCCAUUGAUACUAACCUGUUUUAGGGAUCUACUCCUAACUGUUGGAUGUCUUUUUUUAAAAGAUCUGCACUAGUUAAUCCCAAAAGGUAUGGGCUUGAUGCAGGAAUAACUUGGUCAAAUUCUCUGCCCACUGUUGUAUAGGAAGUCAGAUUAGAUGUUAAUAAUGGUCCCUUUUCACCUUAACACUUGUGAAUUAAUGUCUCUGCUCUGAUUGGCUAACAGAAGGCAUAAUUAAAAUUAUCAACUUGUAAUAGUCUAAUCUCCCAAUACUGAUUUUAUAGCUUGUGCCAUCUUGACUGGGAAUGGAUAAUUGUUUCCCCUGUGGGAGCAGAGAGGGGAGGAUUUUAACCAUAAUGUUUUACUGGGGGGGGUCUUUGUAGAUUCUCUCCCGCACAUUUGUCUCCCUUUUGUAUGUUCCCCUCUAAGGCUCAAGAUGAGGAGGACUGGAUGGAGCUCCCUCCACAGCCCAAGGACCGAGCAAAGGUGAUGCUGCAGAGUGACCUGGGGCACUCCCUUCCCUUUGGGGGCUUCCCAAGCCUCACUCUGUAGAGGUUCAAUUGCACAUUGAACCAGCGAAGGACAAAGCUUUUCAAAAUGGAUCCCCGUUAUGACAACACAACAAGCUGGGCCAGUUCUAGGCAUGGGCAAGGAAGGUGCCCUUACCAGCAAGUUCCGAGGGUAUUGGUGGUAUUUUUUUCUUCCACUCGGCUGCCGUCUGUUUUUCUCUGGUGUUUGUUUUCUUUGGCCACAAUAGGGGCACUAAAAACAUUUUCUGCCCUGGCCAGCAAAAUCCUAGGGCUGCUUCUGACAACAAAUCAUCAGUGGAUUGCUGGGUCAGCCCUUCAGCAGGGAUUUUCACUAACAGUUUGCCUUUGUUUCAGAUGUCGUUUGCUCCAGAAAGCACCUCCUCCCCUUGGCAUAGGUUAGAAUACACAAGUAAAGUUAAAAUGGCUAACCUGAAGUCCUGGAACACAGUCUCAGCCUGGUUAAAGGCACAGCAUACUGUAGUCUGAGCCCCAAUUAUAAUAAUGAAUAAUCUCCUUCACUCCCACCCAAACAGUGGACAAGACAGUGUACUGCAUGGGAGUUGUCUUAAAAGUGUUGAAUUGCUGGCAUUUCCUGACAGACUUUUGGAACAAGAUAGAAAAGCUGUCCUCCUCCUCCUAAUCCCCGUUACGGUGAAAAGGAGCUAUUGGUUACAUGUCAGCUGUUCGUGCAAACUGUGAACACCUCACUGGAUGGAAGGGGUACCAAAAUACAUGAUUAUGAAGGGAAAUUCGUUUGUAGUAGAGCAGGAGAGUAAACAGCUAAUUUUUGAUCUGAGGAGAUUCUGUGAAAGAGAGAUAUAUGAUAAGAAAAUAAUCUGGGGAAUGCAAGCAAUGCCCCACCCCACGCUGCUAAGAGUGAGUGCGUGCUGGAGCUGCAGAAAGCAAUAAACCUGCCCUGUGAACUGGUCUAAUUGUUACUGUGUAAUGCUGCUGGAGCAUGCCUGCAAAAUCAUCAUGAAUGUUUACAAGCCUAGGCACAAAGUCUUCUUGCCUGCUUUUAUCAUGUUGCCGCUGAAAAUAUGAUGAUACGUUAAUUGCCCAUCAGAUAAAAUCACGUGUGCCUCAAACUAAUGUGGUAAGUAGAGUUUUUCCAGGCUGUAGAAUUAGAAACCAUUUCAUCAUGGGUGGUCAGCGUGCAUGCUGCUGUUCUAUGGAUACCAGAAUUGUUGUAUGCCUCCUUCCCAGAAGAGUCCAGGAAACUAAUCUGAAGAACUGAAAAGUGCUUGAAAUAUUGAUUUACACUCCCCUCUGAUAGUGGAAAAGAGCAGAUUAUGAUGCUCUACUUUAUGUAAAGACUUGUGAAAAUAAAUUGUUUGAACAGACUGAUGCAUGGUAUGGUGGGAAUCGCUCCCAGUGAAACUCUAUUUGCAGGGCAGUAGAAUUAAAAGUCCCAAAUUCCUCACUGUGUCACAGUUUUCCAAUUUCAGUUCUGGUAAUAGUGAAUUGCUACUUAGAGGGAGACUGUUCAGGGAAAAGAAAAUGAUUUCCCCUGAGAGGGGGUCCUGCAGUGUGUGUUUUGCAGGGCUUAUCUGGGCUCCCUGCAAAGCUAUUCAAGCUCCACAGACCAAGAUUUUGAAUGUGACCUUCUCCUCCAUCCCUGCCCCAUCUCUAUCCCAAAUUGUUCUCCCAUACCUGCUGGGGUGGGGACAGGGAAUGUAUCAGGAAUGGUAUAUACCAGUAUGUGUUUGAGGAGGGACCUAACGGAAGAGUAUGGAAAUAUACUGUUAAAUAGAAAGAAGGAAUCUGCACGGUGGCCCGGUCAGGAAUGAUUUAAAGAG
Long non-coding RNA from Mauremys reevesii (Reeves's turtle), 5315 nucleotides. RefSeq lists it as uncharacterized. The transcript is spliced from 6 exons. The record is from RefSeq and is a predicted model, not a curated record. Lineage: Eukaryota; Metazoa; Chordata; Testudines; Geoemydidae.